Molecule: non-coding RNA, 75 nt
Organism: Myotis davidii
Lineage: Eukaryota; Metazoa; Chordata; Mammalia; Chiroptera; Vespertilionidae
Source: Rfam
GGCAGUUUUCGGGUGACAAGCCCUGAAAUCAGGCUCCCUCCUCUCUGGUUCUGGGUGUGUCAUCUGAGAGCCACA